UACGAAGGGGGCGAGCGUUGUUCGGAAUUACUGGGCUUAAAGCGUGCGUAGGCGGAUGUACAAGUCAGAAGUGAAAUCCCUGGGCUUAACCCAGGAAUUGCUUUUGAAACUGUAUGUCUAGAAUCCGGUAGAGGUUAAUGGAAUGUCCAGUGUAGAGGUGAAAUUCGCAGAUAUUGGACGGAACACCAGUGGCGAAGGCGAUUAACUGGGCCGGUAUUGACGCUGAGGUACGAAAGCGUGGGGAGCAAACAGG
RNAcentral lists this ribosomal RNA (253 nucleotides) under uncultured prokaryote. RNAcentral describes it as "partial 16S ribosomal RNA". It matches the Rfam family "Bacterial small subunit ribosomal RNA", at positions 524 to 776 of the family's 1533-position model. The record is from RNAcentral.